This 274-nucleotide ribosomal RNA is filed under the name uncultured bacterium. RNAcentral's name for it is "partial 16S ribosomal RNA". It matches the Rfam family "Bacterial small subunit ribosomal RNA", at positions 523 to 796 of the family's 1533-position model. The record is from RNAcentral.
AUACGGGGGGGGCGAGCGUUGUCCGGAAUCAUUGGGCGUAAAGGGUGAGUAGGCGGGAUGGUAAGUCAGAGGUGAAAGUCCAGGGCUCAACUCUGGAUCUGCCUCUGAUACUGCUGUCCUUGAGUGCGGGAGAGGGAAGUGGAAUUCCCGGUGUAGCGGUGAAAUGCGUAGAUAUCGGGAAGAACACCAGUGGCGAAGGCGGCUUCCUGGCCCGCAACUGACGCUGAAUCACGAAAGCGUGGGGAGCAAACAGGAGUAGAAACCCCAGUAGUCC